AUUUUUCAUGGUCUCUUUCGCUCUCCUCCGAAUCGCAUCACAAUCGGCUCUCUGUUGCUUCAUCCUGUUUCAUUUUCUUACAGAUGAAUUCCAUUGCACGGUUUUAUUCUUCCGAUCGAAAAAGGCUUGCAUAGAGGGGAUUUCAUCUGAAUCUAGCAAAAUCGCACCGAUGGCUAUAGAACAAUGUACGUGUUUCAGUCUUCUGUUCAAAAGGGGCUUAGAUGGAUGGGAUUGCGUCUCAAUCAGCGAAACCAGAGUGAUUGCUAUUGAACAUUGUGUGGGUAUAAUCUUUAGUUGGAGCACUGCAAGAAAUCAUCAGGGGGUUUUUCUCACAGAACAAAACACAGAGCCACUACAUUAUCGGAAUGUAUAUUUAGACCAAAGUGGCAUAAUUACGUCAAGCAAAUGCCAAAACAAUCUCAAGAUUAAGAGUCUCAUAUCUUCGCUUUAUUCGAUGCUUCAACCAGCUGAUUCAUCCAACAACACUGUUCCAAAUGCUUCAGCAAUUUCAUGAUGCCCAUUUUGCCCUUGCCCGUGUUAGCACAGCCCUCAUCAAUUCUAGAUUGUCUCUUGCCUUCCAAGCAUACGUUUGAAUUCUGCUGCGUUAAUUAAGUGAUGGAUAGGAACAAGGACGACAAGAACCUGCCAAUUCAUAAGCUCUACAUCCCUGCUGGAGGGGAUAAGGAGGCACAACAGCUCCUGAUUUAUCCGCCUGGGACACCAAA
This is a long non-coding RNA of Prosopis cineraria, 725 nucleotides long. RefSeq lists it as uncharacterized. The transcript has 3 exons. The record is from RefSeq and is a predicted model, not a curated record. NCBI's taxonomy places the organism in Eukaryota, Viridiplantae, Streptophyta, Magnoliopsida, Fabales, Fabaceae.